This 235-nucleotide long non-coding RNA is filed under the name Olea europaea (common olive). Its description in RNAcentral is "long non-coding RNA (OEUR_LNC007762)". Lineage: Eukaryota; Viridiplantae; Streptophyta; Magnoliopsida; Lamiales; Oleaceae. The record is from RNAcentral.
GCCACCCCACCCCGGAAUCCAUAAUCACCCAUCGUCGACCACCAGCAUUCACCACCACCAACAGUUACCAUCGGCAUUACUGUUAACUGUGGAUAACGCCACUUCUUCAGCCCAAUCACUCUUGUUCGGUCUGAUAUUUAGUUGAGGGUUUGUAUGUAACGUGAUUUUCCCCUCAGAAAUAGACGUCGCACCAGAAUUAUUAUUGCACAAAAUUUUUAUUCUCCACCUCAACCAC